AAUCAGUAAACCCUGUCGCGGAAGGUUUUCUCUUUAGUCUAAAUUUUCUGAAAAUCGCACGUUUUAUCAUUCAUCAGCGUUGACUCAGAAUAAAAAUCAUAUAUAUAUGUGAAAUAGUGUAAAAGCAAAUAUAAAGGGGUAGCUUUUAUUUUGAGUUGCUAUAAAUAGCUUGGACAAUUUUCUUGUGGGAAAUCGAGUGCCCCAUUCAUAAAGUACAUUCAUUUGGGAAGACACGGUCGGAGAGGGGAAAAAUUUCAAGUCACAGUGAAUGGGUUUUUAAUCAAUACUCGUGGAAUUCCGGAUAACUACACUUUCUAAGGAUUUUCUUAUCGACGAAAAAGCAGUAAUUUAAAGAAAAAAUGGCAACGACGGAGGGUGGUUUAGCUCCAGCCAGCGAUGACAUGCCAGUGGGCGGGCCCAAGACGCCCCAACAGAUUGCUGCCCAGCGCCGUCUUCAGCAGACACAGGCGCAAGUCGAUGAGGUGGUGGAUAUUAUGAAAACAAACGUCGAAAAGGUACUGGAGAGAGAUCAGAAGCUUUCAGAACUUGAUGACCGAGCAGAUGCACUGCAACAAGGCGCUUCACAGUUUGAACAACAGGCUGGCAAGUUGAAGAGCAAAUUUUGGUUGCAGAACUUAAAAAUGAUGAUAAUCGCAGCUGUCAUUGGGAUUAUAAUUUUGGCUUUAAUCAUUGCCAACUUUGUGUGAACAAGUUUCGGUAACCGAAGUUUAAUUUAGAAGUUACUUGUUAUAUUAUGAAUAGAUAUAAUGCAGUCUGUAAACAUCUUUUGUGGCAAACCGAGGUCUCGCCUUCGCUGCUUUUCGGUCCCGGCUACAAUUAUCCCGAGUAAUAAUUUGUCGUUCUUUAUAGAUUAGUGUUGUUGAAUGUUUUCUUAAUUAUAUAAAAAUGAAACAUUAUAAUAUCGAAAUAUUGAGGCUAAAUAUCUUAGAAUUUGUAAAUUUUUGAGAUCACUUAUCUUACCGACUCUGUCACUAUUUUGCCAUAAGUAAUGUUUUAAUAGAAUAUUUUUAGAAGAUCUUUCUUUAUUAACAUUUACUGUUGAAUAGCGAAAAUUUCCGCUGGCCCUUACAAUGAGGCUUAUCAAAAAUAUACCAUAUCAAGAUAUUUUAUAAUUGUGUUCAACAAUAUAAAUAUUUUUAUUAAUUUUGCUUUUUAUACUUGGACCAAAUUUUUUAAAACUGUUAUCCCUAGAGACCUGUUAAUGUUGUUUUAGAGACCGUGUUAAAAAGUAGAGUUUAAUUUUCUAAAAUUUAUUUUCGACACUUAUUAAACGCAAAGUUUGUCCUUAAUAAAUCGCUUAAAGUUUGUCAUGCUAUUUACACCUAUAUGUUUUUUAUGUAUAAAAAAUGUAUUAUGGGAAGCUGCACAGCACCUUGAGCGGUUUUGUAACUUGUUAAAAAUGUAUACCUAUUAGCCGUUUCACAAUGUAACCAUUUAAACUUAGUUACAUAGAUUUGAAACGAAGUUUUAUACCUAAUAAAAUUAUUGUUAAAUAUAUUACAAUUUGUAUAGAUGUGUCACAAUAUACCUUCCUAUAGGGUGUUAUUACUGGCCAGUUCGUGUA
This is an RNA transcript of Pieris rapae (cabbage white), 1585 nucleotides long. It is a transcript of the gene named vesicle-associated membrane protein 2, with no coding region annotated. NCBI's taxonomy places the organism in Eukaryota, Metazoa, Arthropoda, Insecta, Lepidoptera, Pieridae. The transcript is spliced from 8 exons. The record is from RefSeq and is a predicted model, not a curated record.